GAUGAAGAACGUAGCGAAAUGCGAUAAGUAAUGUGAAUUGCAGAAUUCAGUGAAUCAUCGAAUCUUUGAACGCACAUUGCGCCCAUUAGUAUUCUAGUGGGCAUGCCUGUUCGAGCGUCAUUAAGUCCACUUAAGCCCUGCUUAGUGUUGGGAGACUGCUCCAGCGGUGCUACCCUGUAGCUACCCUGCAGCUCCUCAAAGACAGCGGCGGAGUUGUGGUAUCCUCUGAGCUUAGUAACUUGUUCUAGCUUUCNNNNNCACCACUUCCCCUGCCGUAAAACCCUUAAUUUUUAAUGGUUGACCUCGGAUCAGGUAGGAAUACCCGCUGAACUUAAGCAUAUCAAUAAGCGGAGG
This 354-nucleotide unclassified non-coding RNA is filed under the name soil metagenome. RNAcentral's name for it is "partial contains 5.8S ribosomal RNA, internal transcribed spacer 2, and large subunit ribosomal RNA". The stretch from base 1 to 120 matches the Rfam family "5.8S ribosomal RNA", at positions 35 to 154 of the family's 154-position model. The record is from RNAcentral.